Molecule: ribosomal RNA, 433 nt
Filed under: uncultured bacterium
Lineage: Bacteria
Description: partial 16S ribosomal RNA
Rfam family: Bacterial small subunit ribosomal RNA
Source: RNAcentral
AACGAACGCUGGCGGCAUGCCUAACACAUGCAAGUCGAACGAGACCUUCGGGUCUAGUGGCGAACGUGUCCGUAACGUGUGGGAAUCUGCCCUUGGGUUCGGAAUAACAGUUGGAAACGACCGCUAAUACCGGAUGAUGAUGUAAGUCCAAAGAUUUAUCGCCCAGGGAUGAUCCCGCGUAGGAUUCCCUAGUUGGUGGGGUAAAGCCCUACCAAGGCUACGAUCCUUAGCUGGUCUGAGAGGAUGAUCCGCCACCCUGGGACUGAGACACGGCCCAGACUCCUACGGGAGGAAGCAGUGGGGAAUAUUGGACAAUGGGCGAAAGCCGGAUCCAGCAAUGCCGCGUGAGUGAUGAAGGCCUUAGGGUUGUAAAGCUCUUUUACACGGGAUGAUAAUGACAGUACCGGGAGAAUAAGCCCCGGCUAACUCCGUG